This 253-nucleotide ribosomal RNA is filed under the name uncultured bacterium. RNAcentral's name for it is "partial 16S ribosomal RNA". It matches the Rfam family "Bacterial small subunit ribosomal RNA", at positions 524 to 776 of the family's 1533-position model. The record is from RNAcentral.
UACAGAGGGGGCAAGCGUUAUUCGGAAUUAUUGGGCGUAAAGGGCGCGUAGGCGGCUUUGCAAGUGGCGGGUGAAAUCCCUCGGCUUAACCGAGGAACUGCCUGCCAGACUGUGAGGCUUGAGACCGGGAGAGGUGAGUGGAAUUCCCAGUGUAGCGGUGAAAUGCGUAGAUAUUGGGAGGAACACCAGUGGCGAAGGCGGCUCACUGGACCGGAACUGACGCUGAGGAGCGAAAGCGUGGGGAGCGAACAGG